This 101-nucleotide small nuclear RNA is filed under the name Pteropus vampyrus (large flying fox). The record is from RNAcentral. Lineage: Eukaryota; Metazoa; Chordata; Mammalia; Chiroptera; Pteropodidae.
UUGCUUCGGCAGCACAUAUACUAAAACUGGAACGAUAGAGAAGAUUAGCAUGGCCCCUGAGUAAGGAUGAAACACAAAUUUGUGAAGUGUUCUGUAUUAAA